UUUAAUAUGGCAGAUUAGUGCUUUGAAUUUAAGAUUCAAAUAUAAAGAUUUUUACUCUUUUAUUAAAA
RNAcentral lists this transfer RNA (68 nucleotides) under Bombus waltoni. RNAcentral's name for it is "tRNA-Leu". Lineage: Eukaryota; Metazoa; Arthropoda; Insecta; Hymenoptera; Apidae. The record is from RNAcentral.